RNAcentral lists this ribosomal RNA (1039 nucleotides) under bacterium enrichment culture clone aHCH4_A3. Its description in RNAcentral is "bacterial SSU rRNA". It matches the Rfam family "Bacterial small subunit ribosomal RNA", at positions 48 to 1108 of the family's 1533-position model. The record is from RNAcentral.
GCUACACAUGCAGUCGAGCGGGGAGGCCCUUCGGGGCCUUCUAGCGGCGGACGGGUGAGUAACGCGUGAGCAACCUUUCCUUCACAGGGGGAUAACGCAGCGAAAGCUGUGCUAAUACCGCAUGAGACUACAGAGCUACAUGGCUUAGGAGUCAAAGGAGCAAUCCGGUGAAGGGUGGGCUCGCGUCUGAUUAGCUAGUUGGUGAGGUAACGGCCCACCAAGGCGACGAUCAGUAGCCGACCUGAGAGGGUGAUCGGCCACACUGGGACUGAGACACGGCCCAAACUCCUACGGGAGGCAGCAGUGGGGAAUAUUGGGCAAUGGGGGAAACCCUGACCCAGCAACGCCGCGUGAGGGAAGAAGGUUUUCGGAUUGUAAACCUCUGUCCUUGGUGAAGAGAAGAAGACGGUAGCCAAGGAGGAAGCCCCGGCUAACUACGUGCCAGCAGCCGCGGUAAUACGUAGGGGGCGAGCGUUGUCCGGAAUGAUUGGGCGUAAAGGGCGCGUAGGCGGCCUGUUAAGUCUGGAGUGAAAGUCCCGCUUUUAAGGUGGGAAUUACUUUGGAAACUGGCGGGCUUGAGUGCAGGAGAGGUUAGUGGAACUCCCGGUGUAGCGGUGAAAUGCGUAGAGAUCGGGAGGAACACCAGUGGCGAAGGCGACUAACUGGACUGUAACUGACGCUGAGGCGCGAAAGUGUGGGGAGCAAACAGGAUUAGAUACCCUGGUAGUCCACACGGUAAACGAUGAAUGCUAGGUGUAGGGGGUAUCGACCCCUUCUGUGCCGGAGUAAACACAAUAAGCAUUCCGCCUGGGGAGUACGGCCGCAAGGUUGAAACUCAAAGGAAUUGACGGGGGCCCGCACAAGCAGCGGAGCAUGUGGUUUAAUUCGAAGCAACGCGAAGAUCUUACCAGGUCUUGACAUCCAGGUAAAGCGGUAGAGAUACCGUGUGUGCUUGCACAUCUGAGACAGGUGGUGCAUGGUUGUCGUCAGCUCGUGUCGUGAGAUGUUGGGUUAAGUCCCGCAACGAGCGCACCCUUAU